GUGAGGAAUUUUCCGCAAUGGGCGAAAGCCUGACGGAGCAAUGCCGCGUGAAGGAUGAAGGCCUAUGGGUUGUAAACUUCUUUUCUCAGAAAAGAAUUAUGACGGUAUCUGAGGAAUAAGCAUCGGCUAACUCUGUGCCAGCAGCCGCGGUAAGACAGAGGAUGCAAGCGUUAUCCGGAAUGAUUGGGCGUAAAGCGUCUGUAGGUUGUUUAAAAAGUAUUCUGUCAAAGAUUAGGGCUUAACCCUAGAUAGGCAGAAUAAACUUUUAAGCUAGAGUUUGGUAGAGGCAGAGGGAAUUCCCGGUGGAGCGGUGAAAUGCGUAGAUAUCGGGAGGAACACCAAAGGCGAAGGCACUCUGCUGGGCCAAUACUAACACUGAGAGACGAAAGCGAGGGGAGCAAAUGGGAUUAGAUACUCCAGUAGUCC
RNAcentral lists this ribosomal RNA (426 nucleotides) under uncultured bacterium. RNAcentral's name for it is "bacterial SSU rRNA". It matches the Rfam family "Bacterial small subunit ribosomal RNA", at positions 354 to 796 of the family's 1533-position model. The record is from RNAcentral.